RNAcentral lists this ribosomal RNA (492 nucleotides) under uncultured bacterium. RNAcentral's name for it is "partial 16S ribosomal RNA". It matches the Rfam family "Bacterial small subunit ribosomal RNA", at positions 29 to 507 of the family's 1533-position model. The record is from RNAcentral.
AGUGAACGCUGGCGGUAGGCCUAACACAUGCAAGUCGAACGGCAGCACAGUAAGAGCUUGCUCUUACGGGUGGCGAGUGGCGGACGGGUGAGGAAUACAUCGGAAUCUACUUUUUCGUGGGGGAUAACGUAGGGAAACUUACGCUAAUACCGCAUACGACCUACGGUUAAAAGCAGGGGAUCUUCGGACCUUGCGCGAUUGAAUGAGCCGAUGUCGGAUUAGCUAGUUGGCGGGGUAAAGGCCCACCAAGGCGACGAUCCGUAGCUGGUCUGAGAGGAUGGUCAGCCACACUGGAACUGAGACACGGUCCAGACUACUAAGGGAGGCAGCAGUGGGGAAUAUUGGACAAUGGGCGCAAGCCUGAUCCAGCCAUACCGCGUGGGUGAAGAAGGCCUUCGGGUUGUAAAGCCCUUUUGUUGGGAAAGAAAAGCAGCAGGUUAAUACCCCGCUGUUCUGACGGUACCAAAAGAAUAAGCACCGGCUAACUUCGUG